GUGCUUGCUUCAGGAGCACAUAUACUAAAAUUGAAAUGAUACAGAGAAGAUUAACAUGGCCCCUGCACAAGGAUGGCAUGCAAAUUUGUGAAGUGUUCCAAGUUUUU
This is a small nuclear RNA of Monodelphis domestica (gray short-tailed opossum), 107 nucleotides long. NCBI's taxonomy places the organism in Eukaryota, Metazoa, Chordata, Mammalia, Didelphimorphia, Didelphidae. The record is from Ensembl.